UAAUACCGCAUAACGUCGCAAGACCAAAGAGGGGGACCUUCGGGCCUCUUGCCAUCGGAUGUGCCCAGAUGGGAUUAGCUAGUAGGUGGGGUAACGGCUCACCUAGGCGACGAUCCCUAGCUGGUCUGAGAGGAUGACCAGCCACACUGGAACUGAGACACGGUCCAGACUCCUACGGGAGGCAGCAGUGGGGAAUAUUGCACAAUGGGCGCAAGCCUGAUGCAGCCAUGCCGCGUGUAUGAAGAAGGCCUUCGGGUUGUAAAGUACUUUCAGCGGGGAGGAAGGCGAUAAGGUUAAUAACCUUGUCGAUUGACGUUACCCGCAGAAGAAGCACCGGCUAACUCCGUGCCAGCAGCCGCGGUAAUACGGAGGGUGCAAGCGUUAAUCGGAAUUACUGGGCGUAAAGCGCACGCAGGCGGUCUGUCAAGUCGGAUGUGAAAUCCCCGGGCUCAACCUGGGAACUGCAUUCGAAACUGGCAGGCUAGAGUCUUGUAGAGGGGGGUAGAAUUCCAGGUGUAGCGGUGAAAUGCGUAGAGAUCUGGAGGAAUACCGGUGGCGAAGGCGGCCCCCUGGACAAAG
RNAcentral lists this ribosomal RNA (579 nucleotides) under Enterobacter hormaechei. RNAcentral describes it as "bacterial SSU rRNA". It matches the Rfam family "Bacterial small subunit ribosomal RNA", at positions 164 to 738 of the family's 1533-position model. Lineage: Bacteria; Pseudomonadati; Pseudomonadota; Gammaproteobacteria; Enterobacterales; Enterobacteriaceae. The record is from RNAcentral.